UGAGUCACACGAGUUACAAUAAGUUCAUCAUUUCACUUUCAUAGGUUGAGUGGGAUUGGUGGACAGGUUUGUAAAAGAGGAAGAGGCAUGAAAAGCACCUUACUGAACACAACAGCAGCAGAGAGUGUGACAGUGUGAGCUGUAGGUAAACUUGGAGUGAUGGGAGCAGCCGGGAUCUCAUGAUGGAGAACAACUGUGACCGUCAUCAUCACAGCAAUACAAAUCCCAGCUCUGAUCAGUGUCAGCGUCAGAACCGUGACCGGUGUGGAGGGUCAGACGUUCAGCUUCACAUGUGAAUACCCACAGAGCUGGCAGAGCAACGCCAAGUACCUCUGCCGUGAGGACGACAAUGACAAUCUACUGAUACAUAGAUAGAGAGAGAGCAGCAAAGCCUCCAACAAAUCGGACUCAUCACAUAAAUGAAGUAUCCACAACAACCAAAGACAUAAAAGUGGACAACAUCAGGAGACUAUGAGACAAUGACGCCUGGUGAGGGAACUGAACCUGAACCCCGCUGCACCUGUUCAUCUUCGGACUGUGCUGCUCUCUCAGCUCCACCGCUGCCACCUCCUGACCUCUGCCCCCACUCAAUGUCAAAGAACCGGGAAUCCACUGUCAGUCUUGGCGAAUAUGCUGAAGUGGAUGUACGAGGCCACGUCUGCCAGUACCAACAUCUGGAUCUCAGCCAGUUGGAGGAUCAUGUUUAUCACGCGCUCUGUGGUCCCAAAGAUGGACCCAUGCAGAUGAACUGUUGAUACCACUCAGUUUAUUUACAACUUGGGUCUUGUUUCUAAAUAUUUAGACAGCACCUCAAAUCGUCAAUUAUAACCUCCUACUUUCUGAGAUACCUUCGUGCUAAUAGAAUAUUAAUAAUAUUAUGGCCAAAACACAAAUGUUUUAUAUGUUUUGAAUGAA
Platichthys flesus (European flounder) is the source of this 915-nucleotide long non-coding RNA. RefSeq lists it as uncharacterized. NCBI's taxonomy places the organism in Eukaryota, Metazoa, Chordata, Actinopteri, Pleuronectiformes, Pleuronectidae. The transcript has 5 exons. The record is from RefSeq and is a predicted model, not a curated record.